UCCCUCCCCUCCCCCAUACCCCCACCCCAACAGCGACGUCCAGCUUCCGACUCCGCCCCUCAAGCUCUGACGGUUCAGUGGAGGAGGGCCAGGAUAGGCCAGGUCACCUACCCUCCUCACCCUUAACCCCUCCCUCUUACAACCAAUCCGACCAACCGUCUGGCCAACUGAUGCGCCUGCGCUCUGUGACCUUCUGCGCCCCUAGGCGGCGGGAAUAAAGUACCGUCUGGCCCCGACGCCGCCGGUAUCACUUUCUAAGCUGGACUGCUAGAGACUGUGAGGUAACUUUUCGGGAAAAGGAGACCCUGGAGGACGGCUUGUCCAGUCCACGGACGCCAAACUUCUCUUGGGAGUGAAGCUUGAGGAAGAGGCAUGGGUUAGUGGGAAACUGAGCGAGCUUCGUCCUUCCUUUGGCCCUUCGGAGUCGCUACAGCCCUUAACAUCUCCCAUAGGCGAUAGGUCAGGAACAGCUCUGGCACCUGAACUCUUCGGCCUUAGGGUCUGACCUGGGAGCUGAACCCAUGGAGAUGGGGGUGGGGUGUGUGGAAUCCUAGCCCUAGCAUUUCCUCCCAGGACUGUGUGUGAACUCCCUCCACUAUUACAGACCAGCUACUCAUUUUAGCUUGAGAUUCGGAGAGAUUAAAUAGAAGCAGGCCUUCCUGAGAAGACAGAAGAAAUAAGAGUUGGCUACCUCAAGAUAUCUAUUAUGCGUGGUUUGAGCCAUGGACCAGUGCCUCUAAGGAGUUUUUGUACCACAGACUGUACUGUGGCAUGUCCUGUGCCAUAUGAAUUAUAUUAUCACCACUAUCUUAUGUGACUAAGGGACUCCAGACAUCUUUCAAUUCUAUGAAAUACCUGUCUGUGUGGAUGGAUGGAAUUUCCACACUGCUAUUUCCCUGCACCACAAGUCCAGACCAAAAUGAAAAAAAAAAAGAUGAGGAAACCAAGGUCCAAGGAGACCAAAGUCACACAGGUAAUAUGCAACGAUAUAAUCCAGUGGAAAGAACACCUAUUUAAUGGAAUGCCCCCAGAUCUUUGGUUUUGAGAACACCCUUUAUAUUAAGAAGAAUUAGAUUAAAAUUCUUCAUUUUACGCUA
Molecule: non-coding RNA, 1097 nt
Organism: Monodelphis domestica (gray short-tailed opossum)
Lineage: Eukaryota; Metazoa; Chordata; Mammalia; Didelphimorphia; Didelphidae
Source: RefSeq, a predicted model, not a curated record